This 484-nucleotide ribosomal RNA is filed under the name uncultured bacterium. RNAcentral describes it as "partial 16S ribosomal RNA". It matches the Rfam family "Bacterial small subunit ribosomal RNA", at positions 30 to 507 of the family's 1533-position model. The record is from RNAcentral.
AUUGAACGCUGGCGGCAGGCCUAACACAUGCAAGUCGAGCGGAUGAAGGGUGCUUUCUCCUGGAUUCAGCGGCGGACGGGUGUGUAAUGCCUAGGAAUCUGCCUGGUUGUUUUUGAUAACGUCCUUUAACGGGCUCUAAUACCGCAUCCGUCCUGCGCUUGAUAGUUGUGGAUCUUCGGUCCUCUCGCUCUCUUAUGUUCCUAGGUCGGAUUAGCUAGUUGGUGGGGUAAAGGCCUACCAAGGCGACGAUCCGUAAAUGGUCUGAGAGGAUGAUCAGUCACACGGGAACUGAGACACGGUACAGACGACUACGGGAGGCAGCAGUGGGGAAUAUUGGACAAAGGGCGAAAGCAUGAUACAGACAAGCCGAGUGUGUGAAGAAGGUCUUCGGAUUGUAAAGAACUUUAAGUUGGGAGGAAGGGAAGUAAGUUAAGAAAUUGCUGGAGUGACGGUAACAACAGAAUAAGCACCGGCUAACUUCGUG